GGAAACGGACGCUAAUACCGCAUACGUCCUACGGGAGAAAGCAGGGGACCUUCGGGCCUUGCGCUAUCAGAUGAGCCUAGGUCGGAUUAGCUAGUUGGUGAGGUAAUGGCUCACCAAGGCUACGAUCCGUAACUGGUCUGAGAGGAUGAUCAGUCACACUGGAACUGAGACACGGUCCAGACUCCUACGGGAGGCAGCAGUGGGGAAUAUUGGACAAUGGGCGAAAGCCUGAUCCAGCCAUGCCGCGUGUGUGAAGAAGGUCUUCGGAUUGUAAAGCACUUUAAGUUGGGAGGAAGGGCAUUAACYUAAUACGUUAGUGUUUUGACGUUACCGACAGAAUAAGCACCGGCUAACUCUGUGCCAGCAGCCGCGGUAAUACAGAGGGUGCAAGCGUUAAUCGGAAUUACUGGGCGUAAAGCGCGCGUAGGUGGUUUGUUAAG
This 440-nucleotide ribosomal RNA is filed under the name uncultured Pseudomonas sp. RNAcentral's name for it is "bacterial SSU rRNA". It matches the Rfam family "Bacterial small subunit ribosomal RNA", at positions 152 to 587 of the family's 1533-position model. The record is from RNAcentral. Lineage: Bacteria; Pseudomonadati; Pseudomonadota; Gammaproteobacteria; Pseudomonadales; Pseudomonadaceae.